RNAcentral lists this ribosomal RNA (497 nucleotides) under uncultured bacterium. Its description in RNAcentral is "partial 16S ribosomal RNA". It matches the Rfam family "Bacterial small subunit ribosomal RNA", at positions 28 to 507 of the family's 1533-position model. The record is from RNAcentral.
GAUGAACGCUGGCGGCGUGCCUAAUACAUGCAAGUCGAGCGAACGGACGAGAAGCUUGCUUCUCUGAUGUUAGCGGCGGACGGGUGAGUAACACGUGGAUAACCUACCUAUAAGACUGGGAUAACUUCGGGAAACCGGAGCUAAUACCGGAUAAUAUUUUGAACCGCAUGGUUCAAAAGUGAAAGACGGUCUUGCUGUCACUUAUAGAUGGAUCCGCGCUGCAUUAGCUAGUUGGUAAGGUAACGGCUUACCAAGGCAACGAUGCAUAGCCGACCUGAGAGGGUGAGCGGACACACUGGAACAGAGACACGGUCCAGACUCCUACGGGAGGCAGCAGUAGGGAAUCUUCCGCAAUGGGCGAAAGCCUGACGGAGCAACGCCGCGUGAGUGAUGAAGGUCUUCGGAUCGUAAAACUCUGUUAUUAGGGAAGAACAUAUGUGUAAGUAACUGUGCACAUCUUGACGGUACCUAAUCAGAAAGCCACGGCUAACUACGUG